Molecule: long non-coding RNA, 1570 nt
Filed under: Oryza brachyantha (malo sina)
Lineage: Eukaryota; Viridiplantae; Streptophyta; Magnoliopsida; Poales; Poaceae
Description: long non-coding RNA (OBRA_LNC000554)
Source: RNAcentral
AUUAUGCUGAAAAUUUGCCACUGAUACUGGCUUUUCCAUAUUUCUAUCAGCUUACGGAAAGGGAACUGUGCCUACAUUUGAGGUCAGGUGUGGGUGGACACCUAAAGCGCCAAGUUUGAGUUCUCUUUGUGGUUGAUUUGGAUGCCUUUCUCCUUAAUGAAAGGUACCAAGUUGUCCUAUUCUUCCUCUCUCUCUCUCUCUCUCUCUCUCACACACACACACACAACACAGAGGAGGGGAUUAUAUUAGAUUUUUUUCUUAUGCCCUAAACACUUGGAACGUACUUUUAAGAUCUCUUCUGAUUUACCAACGUAAGUUGUGGAUAAAGUUCCAAUUAUAAUUUAGCUUGAUUCUGUAACUAUAUUCUCUCUCUCUCUCUCUCUCUCUGAGUUUUCAAUAAACUUAAAGACAUAUACUCUGUAUUCAUUUGCUUUUGUUUAGAAUUUUUAUGUUCUGUCAGAUAUUAUAAUGUUAUCCUAUAUCAUGCUGUGUUUCAGGACAUAUUCAUGUAGCUGUACUAAAUAAGAACAUGGAACUUCUAAAGUCAUUCCUUGCCACUUUGUGGUGUUUCAUUCCUUUAAAAAAACAAAGCGUCUCUUUAUUAAUUUCUUAUUAAUCAAAAAUCAUAUCCUACUACGCUCAGCCAACACAAUUGAAGUUAAAAUCACCAUAUCAUGCGUUAAAAGUUUCACGUGGGGUACUGGUUCUGCUGCCUAAUGUAAUGUGCAUCUGUUGCAAUUUCACCCACCCAACUAUUCCCUCCAUUUCAUUUAUAAGAUGUUUUGGUCCUACCUAGAUUCAUCCAUGGAUCUAUGUAUAUAUAUAUAUAUAUAUAUAUACAUAUAUAUAUAUAUAUAUGUCUAGAUUAAUUAGCAUCUAUAUGAAUUCAAGGAUGGCCAAAAAAUCUUAUAAUGUGGAACAGAGGUAAUACAAUUUACUCAAAUUUAUACCUUAUCUGUUAGAAUUGGUUUGUGCAAAUAUGAUGUUUGAGGAUGCACCUUCAUGAGUUCUUGUGAAUACCUGCAGGAGUUUAUUUGUUCUUUGACAUAUGUGCCACUCGGCCCACUCCAAUUGUGUGAUCGAACACCAUUUUCAAAAGAUUCUUCCCAAGUUGCUUCCUUUUCUUUUAAUAUGAAGAGCCCUGUGUAUGGCGAUUUGUAUGUACUUGAGGCAAAAGAGGAGGUGAAGGCAUGUUAGAUAAGGUCUAUAUUGAUUUUUGACUAGUGGACCAUAGAAUCUUAUUUUUUGUACUUUAUAGUUUUAUGUAGACUAUAUUUUUUGGAUAGUGCAUGCUACCUUAACUAGUGUAUUCUGCAUGUUUCUACUGUGCAUGUUUUGGCAUAAUAAGCCUGAGGCUACUUGCACAGGUUUCAGCAAGAACUUCCAUAUUUGAUUAGAGAAGUACUGCCCGCGCUUCAAAUCGAAGGUAAUCUGACCUAAAUGUUGAAACGGUUAAGACAGCAAGUCCAAACAAGAAUUACAAACUAGUAAGCAUGAUGAUGGAUUGAUGAUGAACACUAAAGUUAAUGGAAUCUAUGUAUGUCUUAUGGUCAGGUUAUGGCUUCACAAU